RNAcentral lists this transfer RNA (66 nucleotides) under Aleocharinae sp. 10 ACP-2013. RNAcentral's name for it is "tRNA-Ile". Lineage: Eukaryota; Metazoa; Arthropoda; Insecta; Coleoptera; Staphylinidae. The record is from RNAcentral.
CAACAGAAUGCCUGAUUAAAAGGAUUAUUUUGAUAGAAUAAAUCAUGUAAAUUUUUUACUUCUGUU